This is a non-coding RNA of Pelobates cultripes (western spadefoot toad), 293 nucleotides long. NCBI's taxonomy places the organism in Eukaryota, Metazoa, Chordata, Amphibia, Anura, Pelobatidae. The record is from the annotation of a GenBank genome assembly.
GGUCUUUUCAUGCUGCCUCUUUCUGGUGCAGUUUGUUUUUUGAUUAAGAUUGUGUGUUCAGGUACUCAGGAAUAUCCAGGCUUUCUGAGAAGAGAGGAAUAUGGAAACCUCGUGGUAAAUCACUGGCAUGAAACUGUACUGAAAUGGAAGGCACGAAAAGCAAUAAAAAGCCAGUCUUCUUCUGCCAAGCCAACCAGCAUGUUGAGUCAAGGGUUUAGGACAGAGGAAAUUAGCAUUUCUUGCUUACUGAUUAGAAUAUCCUUAUAUUGUAACUGUGUAAUCAAGCAGAGUUG